AUAAUGCCUACGGGCCAAAGAGGGGGACCUUCGGGCCUCUCGCGUCAGGAUAUGCCUAGGUGGGAUUAGCUAGUUGGUGAGGUAAGGGCUCACCAAGGCGACGAUCCCUAGCUGGUCUGAGAGGAUGAUCAGCCACACUGGAACUGAGACACGGUCCAGACUCCUACGGGAGGCAGCAGUGGGGAAUAUUGCACAAUGGGCGCAAGCCUGAUGCAGCCAUGCCGCGUGUGUGAAGAAGGCCUUCGGGUUGUAAAGCACUUUCAGUCGUGAGGAAGGUAGUGUAGUUAAUAGCUGCAUUAUUUGACGUUAGCGACAGAAGAAGCACCGGCUAACUCCGUGCCAGCAGCCGCGGUAAUACGGAGGGUGCGAGCGUUAAUCGGAAUUACUGGGCGUAAAGCGCAUGCAGGUGGUUUGUUAAGUCAGAUGUGAAAGCCCGGGGCUCAACCUCGGAAUUGCAUUUGAAACUGGCAGACUAGAGUACUGUAGAGGGGGGUAGAAUUUCAGGUGUAGCGGUGA
Molecule: ribosomal RNA, 516 nt
Filed under: Vibrio campbellii
Lineage: Bacteria; Pseudomonadati; Pseudomonadota; Gammaproteobacteria; Vibrionales; Vibrionaceae
Description: bacterial SSU rRNA
Rfam family: Bacterial small subunit ribosomal RNA
Source: RNAcentral